UACGUAGGGUGCAAGCGUUAAUCGGAAUUACUGGGCGUAAAGCGUGCGCAGGCGGUUCGUUGUGUCGGUGGUGAAAUCCCCGGGCUUAGCCUGGGAAUGGCCAUGGAAACUGGCGAACUGGAGUGCGGCAGAGGGGGGUGGAAUUCCGCGUGUAGCAGUGAAAUGCGUAGAGAUGCGGAGGAACACCGAUGGCGAAGGCAGCCCCCUGGGCCAAUACUGACGCUCAGGCACGAAAGCGUGGGGAGCAAACAGG
RNAcentral lists this ribosomal RNA (253 nucleotides) under uncultured bacterium. RNAcentral describes it as "partial 16S ribosomal RNA". It matches the Rfam family "Bacterial small subunit ribosomal RNA", at positions 524 to 776 of the family's 1533-position model. The record is from RNAcentral.